RNAcentral lists this ribosomal RNA (384 nucleotides) under uncultured bacterium. Its description in RNAcentral is "bacterial SSU rRNA". It matches the Rfam family "Bacterial small subunit ribosomal RNA", at positions 30 to 414 of the family's 1533-position model. The record is from RNAcentral.
AUUGAACGCUGGCGGCAUGCCUUACACAUGCAAGUCGAACGGUAACGCGGGGGCAACCCUGGCGACGAGUGGCGAACGGGUGAGUAAUACAUCGGAACAUAUCCAGUAGCGGGGGAUAACCUAUCGAAAGAUUGGCUAAUACCGCAUACGAUCUACGGAUGAAAGCGGGGGACCGCAAGGCCUCGCACUAUUGGAGUGGCCGAUGUCAGAUUAGCUAGUUGGUGGGGUAAAAGCCUACCAAGGCGACGAUCUGUAGCUGGUCUGAGAGGACGAUCAGCCACACUGGAACUGAGACACGGUCCAGACUCCUACGGGAGGCAGCAGUGGGGAAUUUUGGACAAUGGGCGCAAGCCUGAUCCAGCCAUGCCGCGUGAGUGAAGAAGG